GUGUCAGCCGCCGCGGUAAUACGUAGGGGGCAAGCGUUGUCCGGAAUCAUUGGGCGUAAAGCGCGUGUAGGCGGCUUGAUAAGUCUGUUGUGAAAGUCCAGGGCUCAACCCUGGAAUGCCGAUGGAUACUGUCAAGCUCGAGUCCGGAAGAGGCGAGUGGAAUUCCUGGUGUAGCGGUGAAAUGCGCAGAUAUCAGGAGGAACACCAAUGGCGAAGGCAGCUCGCUGGGACGGUACUGACGCUGAGACGCGAAAGCGUGGGGAGCAAACAGGAUUAGAUACCCUGGUAGUCCACGCCGUAAACGAUGGGUACUAGGUGUGGGGGGUGUCGACUCCCUCCGUGCCGAAGCUAACGCAUUAAGUACCCCGCCUGGGGAGUACGGCCGCAAGGCUAAA
RNAcentral lists this ribosomal RNA (395 nucleotides) under uncultured bacterium. RNAcentral describes it as "bacterial SSU rRNA". It matches the Rfam family "Bacterial small subunit ribosomal RNA", at positions 505 to 898 of the family's 1533-position model. The record is from RNAcentral.